GGUAGUCCACCGCCGUAAACGAUGUCUACUAGCUGUUCGCGCCCUUGUGUUGUGAGUAGCGCAGCUAACGCAUUAAGUAGACCGCCUGGGGAGUACGGUCGCAAGAGUAAAACUCAAAUGAAUUGACGGGGGCCCGCACAAGCGGUGGAGCAUGUGGUUUAAUUCGACGCAACGCGAAGAACCUUACCUACUCUUGACAUCUACAGAAGAACGCAGAGAUGUGUUUGUGCCUUCGGGAACUGUAAGACAGGUGCUGCAUGGCUGUCGUCAGCUCGUGUUGUGAAAUGUUGGGUUAAGUCCCGCAACGAGCGCAACCCUUAUCCUUAGUUGCCAGCGAUUCGGUCGGGAACUUAGGGAGACUGCCGGUGAUAAACCGGAGGAAGGUGGGGACGACGUCAAGUCAUCAUGGCCCUUACGAGUAGGGCUACACACGUGCUACAAUGGUAUGUACAGAGGGAGGCAAGCUGGCGACAGUGAG
RNAcentral lists this ribosomal RNA (478 nucleotides) under uncultured bacterium. RNAcentral describes it as "bacterial SSU rRNA". It matches the Rfam family "Bacterial small subunit ribosomal RNA", at positions 789 to 1267 of the family's 1533-position model. The record is from RNAcentral.